This 178-nucleotide ribosomal RNA is filed under the name uncultured bacterium. Its description in RNAcentral is "partial 16S ribosomal RNA". It matches the Rfam family "Bacterial small subunit ribosomal RNA", at positions 355 to 526 of the family's 1533-position model. The record is from RNAcentral.
UUGAGAACCUGGACAAUGGGCGAAAGCCUGAUCCAGCCAUGCCGCGUGUGUGAAGAAGGUCUUCGGAUUGUAAAGCACUUUAAGUUGGGAGGAAGGGCAUUAACCUAAUACGUUGGUGUCUUGACGUUACCGACAGAAUAAGCACCGGCUAACUCUGUGCCAGCAGCCGCGGUAAUAA